Molecule: unclassified non-coding RNA, 196 nt
Filed under: uncultured fungus
Lineage: Eukaryota; Fungi
Description: sequence contains ITS1, 5.8S rRNA gene
Source: RNAcentral
AAAUGAGAACCGGUUCACGCUGCGUGGGGUAAAACCUUCGUAGUGUGUUACCGUCAACCUCUACCCUUGUAUAUUAUUCAACUGUUGCUUUGGCAGGCCGCGAGCCUUUAUGGUAAGCACCGGCUUCGGCUGGAGAGUGCCUGCCAGAGGACCCCAACUCUGUAUUAUAUGAAGUCUGAGUACUAUUAAAUAGUUA